Molecule: ribosomal RNA, 16 nt
Filed under: Conothele sp. MYG282
Lineage: Eukaryota; Metazoa; Arthropoda; Arachnida; Araneae; Ctenizidae
Description: partial 28S ribosomal RNA
Source: RNAcentral
UCGACCUCAGAUCAGA